GAUGAACGCUGACAGAAUGCUUAACACAUGCAAGUCAACUUGAACUUCGGUUUGGGUGGCGGACGGGUGAGUAACGCGUAAAGAACUUGCCUCACAGCUAGGGACAACAUUUGGAAACGAAUGCUAAUACCUGAUAUUAUGAUUAUAUGGCAUCGUAUAAUUAUGAAAGCUAUAUGCGCUGUGAGAGAGCUUUGCGUCCCAUUAGCUAGUUGGAGAGGUAACAGCUCACCAAGGCGAUGAUGGGUAGCCGGCCUGAGAGGGUGAUCGGCCACAAGGGGACUGAGACACGGCCCUUACGCCUACGGGAGGCAGCGGUGGGGAAUAUUGGACAAUGGACCGAGAGUCUGAUCCAGCAAUUCUGUGUGCACGAUGAAGUUUUUCGGAAUGUAAAGUGCUUUCAGUUGGGAAGAAAAAAAUGACGGUACCAACAGAAGAAGUGACGGCUAAAUACGUG
RNAcentral lists this ribosomal RNA (454 nucleotides) under uncultured bacterium. Its description in RNAcentral is "partial 16S ribosomal RNA". It matches the Rfam family "Bacterial small subunit ribosomal RNA", at positions 28 to 507 of the family's 1533-position model. The record is from RNAcentral.